RNAcentral lists this ribosomal RNA (391 nucleotides) under Bacteroides pyogenes. RNAcentral describes it as "partial 23S ribosomal RNA". It matches the Rfam family "Bacterial large subunit ribosomal RNA", at positions 1 to 371 of the family's 2925-position model. The record is from RNAcentral. Lineage: Bacteria; Pseudomonadati; Bacteroidota; Bacteroidia; Bacteroidales; Bacteroidaceae.
AAAGAUUAAAAGAAUAAGGGCACACAAGGGAUGCCUAGGUAGAAAGAGCCGAAGAAGGACGUGGUAAGCUGCGAUAAGCUUGGCGAAGUUGCAAACGAACGUAGAUGCCAAGAUUUCCGAAUGGAGCAAUCUGUAAAGAGUCAUGUCUUUACACGAAAGAGGGAACCGGGUGAACUGAAACAUCUAAGUAAUCCGAGGAAAAGAAAGUAACAACGAUACCCUAAGUAGCGGCGAGCGAACGGGGUAGAGCCUAAACCGUAUUCAUGUCAAGGAUGCAGCCGUUGUGGAUAUGGGGUAGCGGGAAAGAGAGAGAAAGAACUGCAAGCUAUUUCGCAGACGCAGGCAAAGGAACAAGAAAGAUCUGGAAAGGUCUACCGAAGAAGGUGAAAGU